Molecule: ribosomal RNA, 3568 nt
Organism: Neurospora crassa OR74A
Lineage: Eukaryota; Fungi; Ascomycota; Sordariomycetes; Sordariales; Sordariaceae
Rfam family: Eukaryotic large subunit ribosomal RNA
Source: Rfam
UAAUUUGAUUUAAUAUAAGGAAACUUACUAAGUUUAAAUAUAAUAAAAAUUAAUAAAUUGAAAACUCUUUUUUAAUUUCGUAGGUAGUAGUAUAUAACCGUUCUUAGUUAAUAGAGUAAUUUAUUUACUUAAUUAUAAUAACGAACAAGACUUUAAUUUAUUAAAUAGCCUGUAUUACUUUAGUAAUAUACUAACUUCUUAAAAAGACUAUCGGCUUAAAUUAAUAGAAAUUUAAGGUAAUAAUAGGUCUAUAAUGCCCUUAGAUAUUCUAGGCCGUAUAUACGCUAUACUAAUAUAGCUAACGAAUAUUCCUUUAGCCGGAAGGUUCGGGUAAUCUUAUUAAAUUAUAUUAUAUUAGGAAUAAAGUAUUAUAAUUAUUACUCUUCAACGAAGAAUCCCUAAUAAAUAUAAAUUAUCAGCUUAUAUUAAUUACGUCCCUACUCUUUAUAUAUACCGCCCGUUGCUACUACUAAUUAAAUAAUUUAAUAAAGCUUCUAGAUUGGUUUAAGGAGGUCGGUAACAACUACCUAAGGCCGGAAAACUAUUUAAAUUUAGUUAUUUAAAAGAAGUAAAAGUUAUAAUAAAGUCUCUAUUAGUAAACUAGCGGAAGGAUUAUUAUAGAAUUAUAAAACUCUUACAAAUUAUUGUAAAUUUUACUUAUAUAGUUAUUUUGGUAUUAGUAGUCCGGAAAAGNNNNNNNNNNNNNNNNNNNNNNNNNNNNNNNNNNNNNNNNNNNNNNNNNNNNNNNNNNNNNNNNNNNNNNNNNNNNNNNNNNNNNNNNNNNNNNNNNNNNUUUGCUAGGAUUGAGGUUCGUAUAUUUAUAAGGAUACUAGUGUAAUAGUUAUUAAUAAUUUGUUUUAAAAUAUAGAUUAAGGAAUUAAGGUUUUAUGUAAAUAUUUAAGUAUAAAAUUUGUAUAUAUAAUGAAAGUAAAUGUAAGUAAGAGUUUUAGUGUAUUAUCGACCGAUUUUAAUAUAUUCGGAUAAAUUUAAGUAAAAGCGUUAAAUUUUAGAUUUAAAAGAUAGUAAAUUAUAUUUAAAAAGGGUGAAGCUAGAGGAAAUUCUAAUAGAGGUUCGUAGCGGUUUUAAUAUAUAAAUCGAUCGUUAAAUUUAAAUAUAGGGGCAAAAGACUAAUCGAACUAUCUAGUAGCUAAUUAUUGCUGAAGUUUCCUUUAAGAUAAUAAUAUUAUUCUUUAGUUUUAUAAAGUAAAGCGAAUAAUUAGGGAUUCGGGGGCGCUUUUUAGCCUUCAUCUAUUUUUAAACUUUAAAUAUAUAAGAAGCCCUUAUUAUUUAAUUAAAUGUAAAUAUUCGAAUAUAUUAAUAUUAGUAGGCUAUUUUUAGUAAGUAGAAUUAGUAAUACGGAAUAAACCGAACGUGGGGUUAAAGUACUAGAGUGGAUGCUUAUUAAAUACUAUAAAAGGCGUUAAUAUAUUUUAAUAGUAGGAUAGUAGCUAUAGAAGUUGGAAUCUGCUAAGGACUAUAUAAUAAUUUACUUACCGAAUAUAUUAGCCCUAAAAAUAAAUAGCGUUUAAAUAUCCUACCUAUACCCCGCCCUUAGGGUAGAAAUAAUACUUUAAGGAGUAGGCGGCUAUAGAAGUUAAUAAUGAAAUUUAGAGUAUAAAUUUGGGUUGAAUAGCCUUUAAUAUAAAUUUUAAUAGUAAUAGUAAAUAUUUUAAUAAGAAUUUAAAGGACCGAAGUGGGGAAAGGUUCUAUAUAAAUAGUAGUUGGAUAUAAGUUAGUCGAUCCUAAAUUAUAGGGAAAUUCCGUUUUAAAGGGGCACUUAUACCCUAUAUAGCGAAAAGGAAGCCGGUUAAUAUUCCGGUACUUAAAUAUAGGUUUUACGUAGUAAUACAAUUAAAUAUAAAGAUAAUAGCGGGGGCCCUAGGUAGAAUUCUCUUUUCUUUUUAAUAGUCUAUUACCUUAAAAAUAAUUUAUUUAGAAAUAGGAUUUAAUAGUUGGAAAAGCCCGAUACUUCUAUCGGGUCCAAUAUAUUCUCAAUAUCCCUUAAAAAUCUACGGAAAGGAAUAAUUCUUAUACUAGGUUGUCUUUAUAAUUAUAGUAGGUCUCUAAGGUAAAUAACCUCUAAUUAAUAGAAUAAUAUAAAUAAGGGAAAUUAGUAAAAUAGAUCUAUAAUUUUAAGAAAAGGAUUAACUCUAAGGGUUAGGUACGUCGGGCUUUAGGUAGACGCCCUAGGAGUAGAUUGCUACUAGCCGGGUAAUUAACCGGCGGUUUUUAAUAUCCGAGUAUAAAAGCCUUUAAUAGACUUUAAUUGUCCGGCGUAUAUUUAAUAACUAAUUUAGAAUUAAUAUAGAUAAGGGGAAUUUAAUUAUUUAAUUAAAAUAUAGUAUUGUAAUAAUUAGAAAGUAGUAUUAAUAUAAUAUAAUUUCUAUUUAGUACUUUGAAUAUUAAAGUAAAGAAAUUUAAUUAAGUACGGAUAAACGGCGGGAAUAAUUAUAAUUCUCUUAAAGUAACUAAAUACUUCGUUAUUUAAUUAGUAAUAUAUAUAAAUAAAUUAAUAAAAUUCUUAUUAUCCUUAUCUAUUAUUUAGCGAAACUAUAACUAAAGGAACAGGCUUAGUAAAAUUAGUAGGGAAAGAAGACCCUAUUAAAUUUAACUCUAAUUUAAUAUUAUAAAAAGAUAUAGGAAAUAUAAAAUAGGUAGGAACUUUAGCGCUAGUAAAAUACUACUAUUCCUAUUAUUUUUUUACUUAUUUAAUUAAGCAGGGCUAGAUUUUCGUUUAACUUCUAAUUUUAAAGUCCUUUAUAGGCUAACCUAGGUUAAAGAUAUUAUUAGGUAGGGAAUUUAACUAGGGCAGUAUAUUUAUUAAACUAUAAUAUAAGUAUUUUAAAGGGGGUUUAUAGAGAAUAGAAAUUUCUAAUAGAAUAAAAGGGUAAAAGUCCCCUUAAUUUUAAUUUUUAGUAUAAAUACAAAUUAUAAAAGUAUAACCUAUCGAUCCUUUAGUCCCUCGAAAUUUGAGGCUAGAGGUACUAAAAAAAUUAUUAUAGGGAUAAUUAAUUUAUAGCGGCUAAAUAUUUAUAGCGACGUUGCUUUUUAAUCCUUUAAUAUUAGCUCUUCCUAUUAUACCGAAGUAGAAUUUAAUAAAUAUUAGAUUAUUCACCUACUAAUAAGGAAUAUAAAUUAGGUUUAAACUAUUAUAAAAUAGGUUAGUUUUACCCUAUUAAUAACCUUAUUAUAAUAGUAAUUAAAUUUAAUAUAAAAGGAACCAUUUAUUUAAAUAAUUAGUUUUUAUAAUUGUCCGACCGGGUAAUACUGUAAUACUACUAUCUACUAAAUAAUAAUUAAACGCCUCUAAAUUAAAAUCUAUAUUAGAAUAUAAUAAUACCUCUAAUAUAUUAUAGACGUAUAAAAAUAGGCUCUAACCUUGUAUCUUAAUAAGCGAUUCCUCUAUUAGCCUUAAAGUAGCUAGUAAUAAUUUACGUAUUGUAAUUUUAAUAUACGUUGGAUUAAAUCCUUUAUAAACGAUUUAAAUGUAUAAAAGGGUCUUAUAAGUAGUAGAGUAGCCUUAUUAUUACAAUUUACUAAGGGUAAGCCCUCCUUCGCUUAGAUUUUU